Molecule: ribosomal RNA, 341 nt
Filed under: uncultured Acidobacteriota bacterium
Lineage: Bacteria; Pseudomonadati; Acidobacteriota
Description: bacterial SSU rRNA
Rfam family: Bacterial small subunit ribosomal RNA
Source: RNAcentral
AAUCAACGCUGGCGGCGUGCCUCAGACAUGCAAGUCGAACGCGAAAGUUCCCUUCGGGGAGCAAGUAGAGUGGCGCACGGGUGAGUAACACGUAGGUAAUCUACCUUCGGAUGGGGAAUAACAACCGGAAACGGUUGCUAAUACCGCAUAAUGCAGCGGCACCUAAUGGUGACAGUUGUUAAAGCGGGGGAUCGAAAGACCUCGCGUCUGAAGAGGAGCCUGCGGCAGACUUAGCUAGUUGGUAAGGUAACGGCUUACCAAGGCGAUGAUCUGUAGCCGGCCUGAGAGGGCGGUCGGCCACACUGACACUGACAUACGGGUCAGACUCCUACGGGUGGCUG